GGUGAUUAGUGUCAUAGAGAGGGAGGGGGUGACUAGUGACACAGAGAGGGUGGGGGUGACUAGUGACAGAGGGAGGAGUGACUAGGGACAGAGGGAGGGAGGUGGUGACUAGUGACAGUCACCACCUCCCUCACUUUGUCACUAGUCACCACCUCCCUCACUCUGUCACCAGUCAUCCCCUCACUCUGCCACUAGUCACCCCUUCCCUCACUCUGUCACCUGUCACCCCCUCACUCUAGUGACA
Molecule: non-coding RNA, 244 nt
Organism: Pelobates cultripes (western spadefoot toad)
Lineage: Eukaryota; Metazoa; Chordata; Amphibia; Anura; Pelobatidae
Source: the annotation of a GenBank genome assembly